RNAcentral lists this long non-coding RNA (838 nucleotides) under Musa acuminata (dwarf banana). Its description in RNAcentral is "long non-coding RNA (MACU_LNC002095)". Lineage: Eukaryota; Viridiplantae; Streptophyta; Magnoliopsida; Zingiberales; Musaceae. The record is from RNAcentral.
UUAUGAUGUGUAAAUUGUAUUUAAAAUUAUAAGUUCAAAGAUUGAGAAAGGUGCAUGCAACUUAAGUACCCAAAACAAUGCAACUAAACAACUUUUUGAAGAUCUCGUGGUAAGAGCCCUCGAUUUCUCCUACUUGUUUGCUCGAGUUAAUGGUUUAUAAGACAACUUUAGAAGGUUUACGUAAGGGAUGGCAUUUGUGCUUAAUCGUGAUAUGAGUUUGGUGGAGCUUCUCUUUCCCUAUUCCUGAGAAAUGAAAAUAUGGUACAUUUGUCUGAUAUGAAUAGAUGUGGCUGUACAUGGGGCUGUUCACUCUGAGAUCAAAUCUACGCAGAGGACCACGCUACAACAAGUAUGUGUUGUGAUAAAGUUAGAUCCAGUGAGGUUGGUGACAGGUUGGUAGCUUGCAUCCAAGUGGAGAAAAAGGAUUGGGUUCUCACUCAAGCAAGGUUAUUGCAGGCAGAUGGUGAGGUUGUUGUUUGGCUUUGCUUGAACUUAGUUUAGAAAACAUGAAUACUAUUAUUCAAAAUCCAUGCAGGUGAAACUCCUAAAAAAAGGGAUGGUCUAAUAUACAAAAAGUCCUGUCAAUAUAGAGUUUGGAAAUGGUCAAUGUAUAUUACUUUUUAUUCCUUGUAGAUAAAAUUUUAGGGUUCUUGGUCCCAACCCCCAAAGAGAAAAAGGAAACAUCAGUGUUAAUGUGGAUCUGCUUAUAGCCUGUUGUUUUCUGAAUGGUUUCUUCCCUCAAAAGUGUCAACCAAAGUUAAUUCAUGCAAGUUUUACUUGUUCUAGUUUAAUCGUCAGUGCUAGUAGUUACUACAUCUGGGGUUUUUGCAAAACCAUG